ACUCUUCUUCGCCGUCUUCGCUACCUUAGCUGGCUUAGCCGCUGGUUUAGCUUUGGCCUUACUUGUAGUAGCCUUCGGUUUCGCCGCAACUUUAGCCUUUGCCUUCACAGGCGUUGCAACUUUAGCUUUCGCUUUCGCUUUCGACGCGGUUUUAGUCGCCUUCGGCUUGGACUUUGCGGCGGUAGUGGUAGUUGCAGAUUUAGGCUUCGCGGCGGCAGGUUUCUUAGCUACGGCGGCUGGUUUCUUAGCUGCGGCAUAAGCCGAAGGCAGCUUAAAAGAGGCUUUCACUUUUACGAGCUUUCCGGAAGCAACAAACUUCUUCGUCUGAACAAGUAAGACUUUGCGGAAAUUCGCCGGUAAUUGCUUAUGCUUCUCUUCAAUGAAUUUCGCAAUCGCAUAUUGGCUCGAUCCUGUCCUCUCUUUCAACGAAACGAUUGCAUCUGAAAUC
Molecule: long non-coding RNA, 448 nt
Filed under: Gossypium barbadense (sea-island cotton)
Lineage: Eukaryota; Viridiplantae; Streptophyta; Magnoliopsida; Malvales; Malvaceae
Description: long non-coding RNA (GBAR_LNC012956)
Source: RNAcentral